GAUUAAGGAACUUAGGCUAAACCCGCAACGUCCUGUUGCAACGCCUAAGCCACCACAUCCAUGUGGA
Molecule: small RNA, 67 nt
Filed under: Alteribacillus bidgolensis
Lineage: Bacteria; Bacillati; Bacillota; Bacilli; Caryophanales; Bacillaceae
Description: Bacillus sp. P4B(2010) Bacillaceae-1 RNA
Rfam family: Bacillaceae-1 RNA
Source: Rfam by way of RNAcentral